AUGUGUGUCUGUGCGUUCGGCUUGUCUGAGCGCGCACUCCCACCCUUGUCUAUCUUACCUGUUGCUUCGGCGGACCUGCGGGUUCUCCUGCUGCCGGGGACUUGUCUCUGGCUCGCGUCCGCCGAAGAUAAACGAACUCCAGUCGAAGAUUGAAGUCUGAAGAAAAUUGAUAAAUAAAUCA
Molecule: unclassified non-coding RNA, 181 nt
Filed under: uncultured fungus
Lineage: Eukaryota; Fungi
Description: sequence contains ITS1, 5.8S rRNA gene
Source: RNAcentral